This 253-nucleotide ribosomal RNA is filed under the name uncultured bacterium. Its description in RNAcentral is "partial 16S ribosomal RNA". It matches the Rfam family "Bacterial small subunit ribosomal RNA", at positions 524 to 776 of the family's 1533-position model. The record is from RNAcentral.
UCCGUAGGUGGCAAGCGUUGUCCGGAUUCAUUGGGCGUAAAGGGUGCGUAGGCGGCGCGGUAAGUCGGGUGUGAAAUUUCGGAGCUUAACUCCGAAACUGCAUUUGAUACUGCGGUGCUUGAGGACUGGAGAGGAGACUGGAAUUUACGGUGUAGCAGUGAAAUGCGUAGAGAUCGUAAGGAAGACCAGUGGCGAAGGCGGGUCUCUGGACAGUUCCUGACGCUGAGGCACGAAGGCCAGGGGAGCAAACGGG